GCCAGACUCCUACGGGAGGCAGCAGUAGGGAAUUUUGCGCAAUGGGCGAAAGCCUGACGCAGCAACACCGCGUGAAUGUUAAGCCCUUCGGGGUGUAAAGUUCUGUCAAUAGGGACGAAUUUUGACUGUACCUAUAAAGGAAGCACCGGCUAACUCCGUGCCAGCAGCCGCGGUAAUACGGAGGAUGCGAGCGUUAUCCGGAUUUAUUGGGUUUAAAGGGUGCGCAGGCGGAGGUGCAAGUCAGCGGUCAAAUUGCGGGGCUCAACCCCGUACUGCCGUUGAAACUGCAUCCCUUGAGUGCGCGAGAAGUAUGCGGAAUGCGUGGUGUAGCGGUGAAAUGCAUAGAUAUCACGCAGAACUCCGAUUGCGAAGGCAGCAUACCGGCGCGCAACUGACGCUCAUGCACGAAAGCGUGGGUAUCGAACAGGAUUAGAUACCCCGGUAAC
Molecule: ribosomal RNA, 446 nt
Filed under: uncultured bacterium
Lineage: Bacteria
Description: bacterial SSU rRNA
Rfam family: Bacterial small subunit ribosomal RNA
Source: RNAcentral